GGACGAACGCUGGGGGCGUGCUUAACACAUGCAAGUCGAACGGUGAAGGGGCCUGCUUUUGUGGGUCCUGGAUGAGUGGCGAACGGGUGAGUAACACGUGAGUMACCUGCCCCCUUYUUSUGGAUAACCGCAUGAAAGUGUGGCUAAUACGGGAUAUUCUGGGUCUGUCGCAUGGUGGGCCUGGGAAAGAUUGCGCUUUUUGGUGUUUUUGGUGGGGGAUGGGCUCKCGGCCUAUCAGCUUGUUGGUGGGGUGAUGGCCUACCAAGGCGGUGACGGGUAGCCGGCCUGAGAGGGUGGACGGUCACACUGGGACUGAGACACGGCCCASACUCCUACGGGAGGCASCAGUGGGGAAUAUUGCACAAUGGGCGCAAGCCUGAUGCASCGACGCCSCGUGAGGGAUGGAGGCCUUCGGGUUGUGAACCUCUUUCGCCAGUGAARCASGCCUGCUCCUUUUUUGUGGGUGGGU
Molecule: ribosomal RNA, 469 nt
Filed under: Actinomyces naeslundii
Lineage: Bacteria; Bacillati; Actinomycetota; Actinomycetes; Actinomycetales; Actinomycetaceae
Description: partial 16S ribosomal RNA
Rfam family: Bacterial small subunit ribosomal RNA
Source: RNAcentral